Long non-coding RNA from Hippoglossus stenolepis (Pacific halibut), 347 nucleotides. RefSeq lists it as uncharacterized. The transcript is spliced from 4 exons. The record is from RefSeq and is a predicted model, not a curated record. Lineage: Eukaryota; Metazoa; Chordata; Actinopteri; Pleuronectiformes; Pleuronectidae.
UACAGACCCAGGUGCAGACAAACUGCUGCUGCAUUUAACAACCGAGGUGAGCUGUCAUUUAAGAUCUCUUGCUCUGAAAAUGAGAACGAAGACCGUGAUCCUGCUCAUUGCCCUUGUGGUCCUGCUCAAAGUGGUUUCCAAUGAUGCUGCAGACGAAGAAGAAUUCGAAGAAGAGUUUCAUGAACUUUUCUUUGAUCUUGACGAUGAGGCAGCUGCAGCUGCCAUCCUUCCGGGAGAAAACCGUUCCCAGGACUCAGACGAGAAAUGACAAGAGAAAGAAACUGGGUUCGAAAACUUUCUGCCAGUUUGAAAAGAACUUAAAUGAAUAAAGAUAAUAAAUAAAAUCA